GAGGGCAUAGCUCAGUGGCAGAGUGCAUGCUUAGCAUGCAGGAGGUCCUGGGUUCAAGCCCCAGUACUCCCU
Molecule: transfer RNA, 72 nt
Filed under: Camelus bactrianus (Bactrian camel)
Lineage: Eukaryota; Metazoa; Chordata; Mammalia; Artiodactyla; Camelidae
Also listed under: 2 other names
Rfam family: tRNA
About the family: Transfer RNA (tRNA) molecules are approximately 80 nucleotides in length. Their secondary structure includes four short double-helical elements and three loops (D, anti-codon, and T loops).
Source: Rfam by way of RNAcentral